RNAcentral lists this ribosomal RNA (253 nucleotides) under uncultured bacterium. Its description in RNAcentral is "partial 16S ribosomal RNA". It matches the Rfam family "Bacterial small subunit ribosomal RNA", at positions 524 to 776 of the family's 1533-position model. The record is from RNAcentral.
UACGGAGGGUGCGAGCGUUAUCCGGAUUCACUGGGUUUAAAGGGUGCGUAGGAGGUUUGGUAAGUCAGUGGUGAAAUCUCCGAGCUUAACUUGGAAACUGCCGUUGAUACUAUCUGUCUUGAAUAUUGUGGAGGUGAGCGGAAUAUGUCAUGUAGCGGUGAAAUGCUUAGAUAUGACAUAGAACACCAAUUGCGAAGGCAGCUCACUACACAAUCAUUGACUCUGAGGCACGAAAGCGUGGGGAGCGAACAGG